UACGUAGGGUGCAAGCGUUGUCCGGAAUUAUUGGGCGUAAAGAGCUCGUAGGCGGUCUGUCGCGUCGGAUGUGAAAGCCCCCGGCUCAACUGGGGAGGGUCAUUCGAUACUGUUCGACUCGAAGGCAGGAGAGGGAAGUGGAAUUCCGGGUGUAGUGGUGAAAUGCGUAGAUAUCCGGAGGAACACCAGUGGCGAAGGCGACUUUCUGGCCUGUUCUUGACGCUGAGGCGCGAAAGCUAGGGGAGCAAACGGG
RNAcentral lists this ribosomal RNA (253 nucleotides) under uncultured bacterium. Its description in RNAcentral is "partial 16S ribosomal RNA". It matches the Rfam family "Bacterial small subunit ribosomal RNA", at positions 524 to 776 of the family's 1533-position model. The record is from RNAcentral.